RNAcentral lists this long non-coding RNA (362 nucleotides) under Urocitellus parryii (Arctic ground squirrel). Its description in RNAcentral is "lncRNA (ENSUPAG00010008978.1)". Lineage: Eukaryota; Metazoa; Chordata; Mammalia; Rodentia; Sciuridae. The record is from RNAcentral.
CUGGAGUUGCUUUUCAGAGGAGUAAUGUGAUAGUGGAAGUAAGUGCUUGCUAAAUGCUGAGCGCUGUACUUUGGGCUUUCCUUGCCUUAUCUAAUUCUCCUCUUACCCUCUAGUAAGCAUAGCUGUUCUCAUUUUAUUAAUGAGGAAGCUGAGGCUUGGAGUAACUUGGCCACUUAUCUGAAAUAACUCAGCUGCUAGGGGUCAGAACUGAUGUGUGACUGCAGUUCCCUGUGACAGACAGCCCAGUUCCUGGUCUCUGAGGCUUGGGAACUCCCCUGGCUUUCCCUCCAAGGCCCAUGUCACCAGCUGCUAUGAAGCGAUCAGUGAGACUGCGUCACUUGGCUGAUUUCCUGCUUCCUGCU